AAGACUAUACUUUCAGGGAUCGUUUCCAUAGGUCUUAACUUGAGAAAUGUGUUUCUAAAGUGUGAGUCCCGCCACCCACGACGACGAGUUGCGGCGUUUCUUUCUGAGCGCGAAGCGGGUCCAGGGAAGUGAUUUGAUCACAGGCUCUGUACUAUUGAUGACCGUUCAAUGUUCCUUAUGGGAGCAUCGAGGGAAGGAGCGCGUUCAGAG
Small nucleolar RNA from Lampris incognitus (smalleye Pacific opah), 210 nucleotides. RefSeq annotates it as small nucleolar RNA U3. Lineage: Eukaryota; Metazoa; Chordata; Actinopteri; Lampriformes; Lampridae. The record is from RefSeq and is a predicted model, not a curated record. The transcript has a single exon.